RNAcentral lists this ribosomal RNA (540 nucleotides) under uncultured beta proteobacterium. Its description in RNAcentral is "bacterial SSU rRNA". It matches the Rfam family "Bacterial small subunit ribosomal RNA", at positions 382 to 916 of the family's 1533-position model. The record is from RNAcentral. Lineage: Bacteria; Pseudomonadati; Pseudomonadota; Betaproteobacteria.
CCUGAUCAGCCAUGUCCGCGUGAGUGAAGAGGCCUUCGGGUUGUAAACCGCUUUUAGUCGGGAAGAAAAGGCCCGGGCUAACACCUCUUGUUCUUGACGGUACCGGCGGAAUAAGCACCGGCUAACUACGUGCCAGCAGCCGCGGUAAUACGUAGGGUGCGAGCGUUAAUCGGAAUUACUGGGCGUAAAGCGUGCGCAGGCGGUUCGUUAAGUUCGAUGUGAAAGCCCCGGGCUCAACCUGGGAACUGCAUUGGAAACUGGCGAGCUUGAGUGUGGCAGAGGGGGGUGGAAUUCCGCGUGUAGCAGUGAAAUGCGUAGAGAUGCGGAGGAACACCGAUGGCGAAGGCAGCCCCCUGGGCCAACACUGACGCUCAGGCACGAAAGCGUGGGGAGCAAACAGGAUUAGAUACCCUGGUAGUCCACGCCCUAAACGAUGCUCACUAGGUGUUGGGGAAGCGAUUCCUUGGUACCGUAGCUAACGCGUGAAGUGAGCCGCCUGGGGAGUACGGCCGCAAGGUUAAAACUCAAAGGAAUUGACGG